AUCUAUGGCCAUGCCACCCUGAACAUGCUCAAUCUUGUCUGAUCUCUGAAGCUAAGCGAGGUCGGGCCUGGUUAGUACCUGGAUGGGAGACCACCUAGGAAUACCUGGUGCUGUAGGUG
RNAcentral lists this ribosomal RNA (119 nucleotides) under Pteropus alecto (black flying fox). Lineage: Eukaryota; Metazoa; Chordata; Mammalia; Chiroptera; Pteropodidae. The record is from RNAcentral.